Molecule: long non-coding RNA, 510 nt
Organism: Penaeus chinensis
Lineage: Eukaryota; Metazoa; Arthropoda; Malacostraca; Decapoda; Penaeidae
Exons: 2
Source: RefSeq, a predicted model, not a curated record
CCCCGAGUGUAUAUAUAAAGGACGAGGUGCGGUUCCUUCCAGUUCUGUUUUUGUGAGUUCGUUCGUCCGAGUGUCCGCAGGAUGAAGCUGGUAAUCGUCCUCCUCGCAGCGUUGGCAACAGUGCUGGGCCUAUUGCACUGUGCCAGGGCCCUCCCCCACCCCCUCCCCUACCCUCACCCUCACCCUGAACCGCGGCGCCCUAGCAAGCCUCUAUUUGACCCCAAGUCCAGCUAUGGGUACCGUUCCAAGCCCUAUUAUGGGGACUACCUGCCUACCUACCGAUGGUGACGCGGUGAUGGGGUGGUGAAGUUGAUGGUGUUGAUGGUGGUGAUGGUGGUGAUGGUGGUGACUGCCUCGUUCGACUUCAGCGGCAUGUCCGGAGGAGCGCUGAGACCUGGCAUUACUCGUUCUUAUCAUAAGCAUUAUUAUUAUUAAGGUUUAUUAGUGUUAUUUUUAUUAUUUUUUUUUUUUUUAUUAGGGGGGUGGUAUGGAAUAAAUCUUAGUUUUUUU